UUGGAAAGGAUGGGGUGAGAUAUCUUAUGGAGGAUAUGAAUGUGUUAAACGUGCAAAGGCUACAGAAUUCCUGGUCAGAUCAUGGUUGGAAGAAAUAUUGCCUGGCAUCAACAGUUCUGUAUUUUCUUAUAUAAUUGGCGUCGAUAGUCUGAAAGCAACUAGCAUUGGUGAUGACACUUCAUCUUCAGCCGCUAGUAAUGAUGUAAGGUUGUGUAUGGAUGGAUUAUUUGACCUGAAAGAACAUGCAGUCCAAUUUACUAGAGACAUUAUAGCAUUAUAUACCAAUGGACCAGCUGGUGGUGGUGGUAUCAGGUCAAGUUCUUAUCAGCUUUUGAACCUAUUUUCUAAUUUACUAGCGUUUUAAUGAGCUUACACAUUCCUUGGUGGUUAUAGAUUCAUCUCUAGAUGCAAUAAAUCUUUGGUUCUUUAUUUUCAUAAUAAUUGGUUUCCUGUGCUCAAAACCGAAUGAGAAGUUGUAGAUUGAAUUGCUGUUAGAGCUCAUGAAGUUAGUUAUUUACUAAUUAGUGGUGCCUUCCUAAAUAUACAAUCGAAGAUAUAUUUAAUAGAGAUUGACCUUGCUAUAUUCACCUUUAUAUUAUGUGUUUUCUAUUCCCCGAUUGUUGUGAUUGAUCUAAUUCCACUGAUUUUUUUUUUCUUUACUGACUGCAGUGUAGGACACAAGAGAGAGGUCAUUCUUGAAAAACAACUGCUCAAUCGUGAACAUGUUGCUUGGAAGACAUCCAUAAAGCGCACUGUAACCAAAUCAAAUCCUCCAAGAAUUAGCCAUGAAAACCUCAUUAAAACUCCAGUUUCUCAAGGAUUAGUAGAAGAUGCUUCAUUUUCUGAAAGUGACAUCUCUCCUGCGCACUGUAACUUGUGGGAUGAUUUUAAUUGGCUUUUACAUUUGCAAGUGGAGAGCAUUUUAUGGUUCUAGUAGUGUCAUCAUGCCAAUGCAAAAUCAUUUGAGGCCUUGGACGAUAUGAAGACCCAAACUGCCAACCCAAGAGAUCUAGCUAUGGGUUACCUGAGGACAAAUUUAUAUUUGCUUGUUUUAACCAGCUAUACAAGAUGGAUCCUGAUAUUUUCAAUACAUGGUGCAACAUCCUUAAGCGAGUACCAAAUAGUGCACUUUGGCUUCUCAAAUUUCCUGCUGCUGGCGAGUCGAGACUCUACAAUUGUACUGCCAUUUUACCAUUUCUCAAGAUAAAUCACUUACAUGCAUAAUAUUUGAAUUCUUCUUUGUUAUUUAUAUUUCAUAAUGUAGUAAUGGGUAUUUAUCUUACAAAGGAAAGAUAAAUUAGUGACUGAUAAACUAUUGGUGUUCCAGAUGCUGUUCAAAGAGGUGUACAACCAGAUCAGAUUAUUUUCACAGAUGUUGCCAUGAAGGGUGAACAUAUCAAGCGCAGUGCUUUAGCAGAUUUAUUCUUGGACAUAUAAGCAUGCUUAAUACUUUAUUUUUUCUAUUUUUUUUAUUAUUCAAGUGUAUUUAUCUUAGUACAAUACAAUAUGUAACUUUAUUUUGACAUUUGAUGUUGCUAUUGCUGAUUGAUUUUUCUAUUGCUGUUUUGUUUCUUUAUUAUAUUUUUGGUGGUGUGUGCUCUGUAGCAUUGCAUUUAGUUAGCUUAAUAUUUAGCUCAUAUUUUCUUGAGUCGUUGCACCAGAAUUCCCUUAAUCAAGAGUCAUAUUCUGUCAGAAGUGAAUCAUGUCUUGUUAACAGAAUGAUUUUUCAACUGGUUACAAGUCUUUCCCAGAGCUUGGACAACAAUUUUGAUUUCUCUAGACAAUAGUGGCAUGUGGAA
Humulus lupulus (European hop) is the source of this 1799-nucleotide long non-coding RNA. RefSeq lists it as uncharacterized. The transcript has 5 exons. NCBI's taxonomy places the organism in Eukaryota, Viridiplantae, Streptophyta, Magnoliopsida, Rosales, Cannabaceae. The record is from RefSeq and is a predicted model, not a curated record.